AUCCACAUAUCUCAGUCAGAAGAGCAUGAGUCUCUUAAUCUCAGGGUUGUUGUAGGUUCGAGCCCCACGUUGGGCA
Molecule: non-coding RNA, 76 nt
Organism: Podarcis lilfordi (Lilford's wall lizard)
Lineage: Eukaryota; Metazoa; Chordata; Lepidosauria; Squamata; Lacertidae
Source: the annotation of a GenBank genome assembly